AAGGAUUUAAGUUAAAGAGCAAACUAAUAGCCUUCAAAGCUGUAAAUAGGUUAUACCUAAGCCUUA
Molecule: transfer RNA, 66 nt
Filed under: Tenebroides mauritanicus (cadelle beetle)
Lineage: Eukaryota; Metazoa; Arthropoda; Insecta; Coleoptera; Trogossitidae
Description: tRNA-Trp
Source: RNAcentral